This 73-nucleotide transfer RNA is filed under the name Anneissia japonica. RNAcentral's name for it is "tRNA-Ser". It matches the Rfam family "tRNA". Rfam says of the family: Transfer RNA (tRNA) molecules are approximately 80 nucleotides in length. Their secondary structure includes four short double-helical elements and three loops (D, anti-codon, and T loops). Lineage: Eukaryota; Metazoa; Echinodermata; Crinoidea; Comatulida; Comatulidae. The record is from RNAcentral.
GCCUCUGUGGUCUAAUGGUUAUGACCCUUGCCUGGACAGCGAGAGGUCGCAGGUUCGAAUCCUGUCGUAGGAU